Long non-coding RNA from Oxyura jamaicensis (ruddy duck), 2566 nucleotides. RefSeq lists it as uncharacterized. The record is from RefSeq and is a predicted model, not a curated record. NCBI's taxonomy places the organism in Eukaryota, Metazoa, Chordata, Aves, Anseriformes, Anatidae. The transcript is spliced from 3 exons.
GAGCAUACAAAGAAAACAGCACACCCGUAGCACCUGAGAAAAUAGAUUUUAAUACAAGGGCUGCACAUUUCUGAUCGGUUUCCUUAGAGCCUGAAUAACACCUGUGCUUUGUCAGCAUGUGACAAAACCUGCAUUUAUCUGGGAUAAUACGGGUGUUACUGACAGAGGAAGUAGCAGGACUGCUGCUCAUUCAGGCAGAUCCAAACCUGCACCAGUGAGUCGGAUUAAUUCCAAACGCAGACCUUUGCAUGCCUGUUGAUCUCCAAGAGGCUUCUGUUGUCCCAUUCAUGUUUCUCAAGUUCCCUCUGAAUUGAAGAGAAGCAUCAAAAGAGGUUGGAAAGUAGAAAGGUGCUUCAACUAUCCAUAUGUUAGAAGUAUGCAAACAAUGCAAAGGGAGCUGCUUGUAUCAUAAUGAUGGGAUGCUCAUCUGCAUCUCUUCAAACACGGUGGACCAGCUCUGCUGCUACUAAAUGGCGUUUCAUGACACUGAAGAUAUGGAGUUAGGCCAGUUGACAACAUAGCCAGAGCAAGAGCAUUUUAAUGGGUUUUGCCUUGUUUAAACAUUACCUUUUGUUACAGGAUUGUUCAUUGGGUGCAGCAUAAAGUACAAUUAUUUUUGUUGGCUUUUCAGCUUUCCUCUCCUGUUAGAGGAAGGUUCCACUUUCAAAUGAAUAUUAGAAGAACCUUAAAGUCUUAGCUAUCCCUAAUCUUUAUGGCUUCAUUGGAGUUUUAAAUGUAGCUUUUGCUUUAUCCUAUAAACUGGGAGCUAUCGGUUUGAGGGACUUAGUCCAAAGAUACAGUAUAAGCAGAUAGUUUGGUUAAGCUGAUUUUUGCAAUUCAAGUGGGUCUAAUGCAUAUCAUGCCCGGGAUUAUCUUUUUACUUCUGCAUAAAUUGACAGAAUCUGAGCAUUCUCUGUGUAUUGCAAAGAGCAGCUUGGAAAAUAAAAGGGAACCAGGUUAGUGGCUCAUAUAUAAAGGAACAUUUGAACUUUGUAUAAAUCAUCUAAAUUUUCAUCCUUUUGUACAUCACUCAGGGAGAAAGCAAAUAUUUUGGCAGCUUGGAUCAUGUGAGAGGGAAACAAGAGACCUCAUUAAUUCAGAUAUUUCAGAUUCAACAACAGAAAGGAGGGAUUAUGACUGCCCAAUUUGAUCCAACUGGAAAAAUCUAAAUCUAGACCAAGGUCAGGUACCUCACAAAUGAUGGAACGAUAUAAAGUGUAUUUAAUUUCCUGAGAGCUGUGAUAAAAUUAAGAUAGAAGUCCUGGGAAAAGAGUCUAAUAUAUCACUCAGCCCUAUCAAGCCUGACAUGUUUACUAGGUGUGUCAUAGCUAUUUGAAAAGAUGAUCUCUAAGAAAAACCUUCAGCAUUUUCUUUUUUUUUUCAUUCUUUUAAGUGUUAUUGUCCUCUUCAGUAGCAGUAUUCCUAGAGCCAAAUGGUAUUCGAUUGUGCAAAAUUGUUUAGCAGAAGUGUUUGUACUCUUCGUCAGUAAGGGGGGACAGGACCACUCUUUCAUUUCUUCAGUCACUGCAAAAUUCUGCCAUAAGCUGUGCUUUCCCUCCCAUGAGUUUGCAAAGCGCUGCACUGCAGUGGGCUUUCCCAUCUCAGAUUUGACAUUUGCCCUUCACAGAGCAGAGCUGCUCACAGCAGAGGAGACCCUUCUUGUCAGAUAAGCAGUGUUACGGAGUUGGCUUUCAGCAUUGAUGCUGAGAAACAUUUGCUUCAGCUUGGUUUGCUCCACAGGGGACAGAAAGGAGGGAGCAGCAAAAGCCAGAGGAGUAACAAAGGCAGUGGAAACAUUACCUCUUUACACUGUCAUCUUGGUGGUUUUUCUAAGAACAGCUUUUGCUUCAGUGGGUGAAAACUUGCCAUCUUCCUCUUCCUUUUUUUUUUUUUUCUUCUCUCUACUGUCCAUUUCUUUAAUAUUUUAAUUUUCAUGUACAUGGGAAUAUGUGUCUUUGUGUGAGGGUGCACGUGCAUAUAUAUAUUCUUAUAUAGGGCUGUGUAUAUUCUGUGAUUUGUACUGAAUUUUUAUGGUUCUCUCUCUACAAGGCUCUGUUCUAAACAGUAAGUGUCAUGCACUUGCUCCUGCUUGAAAAUAACACACAGCAUUUUCUUAGCCCUUAUUAAAUCAGACCUAGGUAACACCGGGAAGGAAUUUGAAUUGUCCCCCACUCCAAUUUCUCUUUCCCAAUUUCACAAAGGUUAGACAAGUCUCCGAAUGCUGCUCAUUGUGUUUUGCCCACUUUUUUGUUCUCUUCACCCAGGUAAUGAAAAAUCCUCUGUCCCCAUCCAAAGACCGCACAGUAACAGCUGGCUCUUCAGCUCAAGUAACCACAGUCAAGAGCAGAAGCAUUUGUGGCUGAGAGUGCAAUUGAUGAAAGGGAAGGAUGGCAAAAUACCUGCAGGCCACUGAACAUUUCCCAGCAAUUCAGCUAUGGCCAGCUGUGAGUGCUAAUUAGAGACACUGCAUAGUUGACUUGCUAUUAAAGGAAUGGAAAUGGGCAUAUUUCCCUUUGUUUUAUUUAUUGUAGAAUCAUGGAAGCAUUAAGGCUGGAAAAGACUUUCA